GGAAGAGAAAGAAAAUUCGAUUCCCUUAGUAGCGGCGAGCGAAACGGGAAGAGCCCAAACCAAAAAGCUUGCUUGUUGGGGUUGUAGGACACUCUGUACGGAGUUACAAAGGACGACAUUAGACGAAUCAUCUGGAAAGAUGAAUCAAAGAAGGUAAUAAUCCUGUAGUCGAAAAUGUUGUCUCUCUUGAGUGGAUCCUGAGUACGACGGAGCACGUGAAAUUCCGUCGGAAUCUGGGAGGACCAUCUCCUAAGGCUAAAUACUCUCUAGUGACCGAUAGUGAACCAGUACCGUGAGGGAAAGGUGAAAAGCACCCCGGAAGGGGAGUGAAAUAGAACCUGAAACCGUGUGCUUACAAGUAGUCAGAGCCCGUUAAUGGGUGAUGGCGUGCCUUUUGUAGAAUGAACCGGCGAGUUACGAUUUGAUGCAAGGUUAAGCAGUAAAUGUGGAGCCGUAGCGAAAGCGAGUCUGAAUAGGGCGUUUAGUAUUUGGUCGUAGACCCGAAACCAGGUGAUCUACCCUUGGUCAGGUUGAAGUUCAGGUAACACUGAAUGGAGGACCGAACCGACUUACGUUGAAAAGUGAGCGGAUGAACUGAGGGUAGCGGAGAAAUUCCAAUCGAACCUGGAGAUAGCUGGUUCUCUCCGAAAUAGCUUUAGGGCUAGCCUCAAGUGAUGAUUAUUGGAGGUAGAGCACUGUUUGGACGAGGGGCCCCUCUCGGGUUACCGAAUUCAGACAAACUCCGAAUGCCAAUUAAUUUAACUUGGGAGUCAGAACAUGGGUGAUAAGGUCCGUGUUCGAAAGGGAAACAGCCCAGACCACCAGCUAAGGUCCCAAAAUAUAUGUUAAGUGGAAAAGGAUGUGGCGUUGCCCAGACAACUAGGAUGUUGGCUUAGAAGCAGCCAUCAUUUAAAGAGUGCGUAAUAGCUCACUAGUCGAGUGACACUGCGCCGAAAAUGUACCGGGGCUAAACAUAUUACCGAAGCUGUGGAUUGUCCUUUGGACAAUGGUAGGAGAGCGUUCUAAGGGCGUUGAAGCAUGAUCGUAAGGACAUGUGGAGCGCUUAGAAGUGAGAAUGCCGGUGUGAGUAGCGAAAGACGGGUGAGAAUCCCGUCCACCGAUUGACUAAGGUUUCCAGAGGAAGGCUCGUCCGCUCUGGGUUAGUCGGGUCCUAAGCUGAGGCCGACAGGCGUAGGCGAUGGAUAACAGGUUGAUAUUCCUGUACCACCUAUAAUCGUUUUAAUCGAUGGGGGGACGCAGUAGGAUAGGCGAAGCGUGCGAUUGGAUUGCACGUCUAAGCAGUAAGGCUGAGUAUUAGGCAAAUCCGGUACUCGUUAAGGCUGAGCUGUGAUGGGGAGAAGACAUUGAGUCUUCGAGUCGUUGAUUUCACACUGCCGAGAAAAGCCUCUAGAUAGAAAAUAGGUGCCCGUACCGCAAACCGACACAGGUAGUCAAGAUGAGAAUUCUAAGGUGAGCGAGCGAACUCUCGUUAAGGAACUCGGCAAAAUGACCCCGUAACUUCGGGAGAAGGGGUGCUCUUUAGGGUUAACGCCCAGAAGAGCCGCAGUGAAUAGGCCCAAGCGACUGUUUAUCAAAAACACAGGUCUCUGCUAAACCGUAAGGUGAUGUAUAGGGGCUGACGCCUGCCCGGUGCUGGAAGGUUAAGAGGAGUGGUUAGCUUCUGCGAAGCUACGAAUCGAAGCCCCAGUAAACGGCGGCCGUAACUAUAACGGUCCUAAGGUAGCGAAAUUCCUUGUCGGGUAAGUUCCGACCCGCACGAAAGGCGUAACGAUUUGGGCACUGUCUCAACGAGAGACUCGGUGAAAUCAUAGUACCUGUGAAGAUGCAGGUUACCCGCGACAGGACGGAAAGACCCCGUGGAGCUUUACUGUAGCCUGAUAUUGAAAUUCGGCACAGCUUGUACAGGAUAGGUAGGAGCCUUUGAAACGUGAGCGCUAGCUUACGUGGAGGCGCUGGUGGGAUACUACCCUAGCUGUGUUGGCUUUCUAACCCGCACCACUUAUCGUGGUGGGAGACAGUGUCAAGCGGGCAGUUUGACUGGGGCGGUCGCCUCCUAAAAGGUAACGGAGGCGCUCAAAGGUUCCCUCAGAAUGGUUGGAAAUCAUUCAUAGAGUGUAAAGGCAUAAGGGAGCUUGACUGCGAGACCUACAAGUCGAGCAGGGUCGAAAGACGGACUUAGUGAUCCGGUGGUUCCGCAUGGAAGGGCCAUCGCUCAACGGAUAAAAGCUACCCCGGGGAUAACAGGCUUAUCUCCCCCAAGAGUUCACAUCGACGGGGAGGUUUGGCACCUCGAUGUCGGCUCAUCGCAUCCUGGGGCUGUAGUCGGUCCCAAGGGUUGGGCUGUUCGCCCAUUAAAGCGGUACGCGAGCUGGGUUCAGAACGUCGUGAGACAGUUCGGUCCCUAUCCGUCGUGGGCGUAGGAAAUUUGAGAGGAGCUGUCCUUAGUACGAGAGGACCGGGAUGGACAUACCUCUGGUGUACCAGUUGUCGUGCCAACGGCAUAGCUGGGUAGCUAUGUGUGGACGGGAUAAGUGCUGAAAGCAUCUAAGCAUGAAGCCCCCCUCAAGAUGAGAUUUCCCAACUUCGGUUAUAAGAUCCCUCAAAGAUGAUGAGGUUAAUAGGUUCGAGGUGGAAGCAUGGUGACAUGUGGAGCUGACGAAUACUAAUCGAUCGAAGACUUAAUCAA
RNAcentral lists this ribosomal RNA (2707 nucleotides) under Staphylococcus aureus FVRH6001. RNAcentral describes it as "bacterial LSU rRNA". It matches the Rfam family "Bacterial large subunit ribosomal RNA". Lineage: Bacteria; Bacillati; Bacillota; Bacilli; Caryophanales; Staphylococcaceae. The record is from RNAcentral.